GAUGAACGCUGGCGGCGUGCCUAAUACAUGCAAGUCGAGCGAACGGACGAGAAUCUUGCUUCUCUGAUGUUAGCGGCGGACGGGUGAGUAACACGUGGAUAACCUACCUAUAAGACUGGGAUAACUUCGGGAAACCGUAGCUAAUACCGGAUAAUAUUUUGAACCGCAUGGUUCAAAAGUGAAAGACGGUCUUGCUGUCACUUAUAGAUGGAUCCGCGCUGCAUUAGCUAGUUGGUAAGGUAACGGCUUACCAAGGCAACGAUGCAUAGCCGACCUGAGAGGGUGAUCGGCCACACUGGAACUGAGACACGGUCCAGACUCCUACGGGAGGCAGCAGUAGGGAAUCUUCCGCAAAGGGCGAAAGCCUGACGGAGCAACGCCGCGUGAGUGAUGAAGGUCUUCGGAUCGUAAAACUCUGUUAUUAGGGAAGAACAUAUGUGUAAGUAACUGUGCACAUCUUGACGGUACCUAAUCAGAAAGCCACGGCUAACUACGUG
RNAcentral lists this ribosomal RNA (497 nucleotides) under uncultured bacterium. RNAcentral's name for it is "partial 16S ribosomal RNA". It matches the Rfam family "Bacterial small subunit ribosomal RNA", at positions 28 to 507 of the family's 1533-position model. The record is from RNAcentral.